CUUUAUUUGUGUCAUCUCUUCAACUUCAAUUCACCAUUUCUUCAUUGUUCCAUCUCCCUCUCUCUUCACCAACCCCCUUUCUAGAUCCUCUCCUCCGCAAUCAUCAUCCACACAUUUAUAUGCUUCUCCCUUUUUGCCGAUCCAUGGCUCCGAGUCGCUGAACUCAGCAGCGUAACCGUUAACAAACCAUCGCCGCCGUCAACUUUCAUCACGUCAUUACCAUCACCGCCAUGACAACGACUCCGUCGCCGACAGUCCCCUCGAUCCUCUCCAGUGAUCUCAUCCUUGAGGUACUUUUGUUUCUUCCUGUUAGAUCUCUUCUUCGAUGAAGUCUGUAAGUAAGUGUUGGAAAACCCUUAUUUCUGACACCACCUUUGUUUUAUAUACGUGUUUGAUUUUUUUUUUUUUUUGAUUGAAGGUUUGAAAAAUGAGAAAUCACAGAACUCAUAUGCAUAUGUUUUGCUUGAUUGAAGGUUUAUGAAGGAAUCUUACAUCAAUAUGACAAUAUCAUGAAAAAGAUUGUUCAUGAUGCUCUUAAUCUAAGUAAGAUCAAUUUUGUUCUUAACCUAAAGCCCAAUUGUGAUGAUUUUUUUUCUCUGUUUUUGAUUUUGUGUAAAUUUGUGAAUUUUGAUUAGAAGUUUUUUUGGACCGAUUUUAGUGUUUUCGUUGCAUUGGGUUUCAUGUAUUUUACUAUUGAUAUAUUGUUCUUCUAGGUUCACUUUUGAUUCUAUUGCGUGCAGCAAAUUCUUAUAGAGAUUGAGAGCGGAGAGUAAAAAUUAGAGUCAAGAUAAUUAAACACCAUGAGGUAAUUUUAUCUUCGUUUUUUAGAUAUGUUUUUGAUCUAUGAUAUUUAUUUCAUCUAAUAUGAUUAUCAGUAACUUAUAGGGUUCUGAUGUUGUUUAUAGCUCACUGGUGUCCUAUUUAAUGUAUACCUUAGCCUCAUUUUUAUGUGGAAUGAUGCAGAUCUAUAGGGGGCGCCUCUUUGUGGUUAUUUAGAGGUAUUCUGCUGUUACGAGGUUUUCCUUUCAAUGCUAUUUUCCCUCUGUGUCGUGCUAUUCUUCUCUUUUGAUUUGUUCCUUUAAUAUCAUUUGUUUCUAGGUUAUUAUUCAUUUUUUAUUUAUAUUUUGUUAUCUUUUUAUGUUGGUGGAUAAAUUUAAGGUCUUAUUAGUUAAUUUAGGACCGGAUUCUAUAUAAUUCGUGAAGAUAUUAGUAAUUCACGAAUUUACUUUGAAUGGGGAUAGAGCAAUUAGUUCUACGUUUAGUAUUGAAAGAAUUACUAUGGUCUUAUUAGUUAAUUUAGGACCGGAUUCUAUAUUUUCUGGCUGAUUUCUUGAUCUGCAGACCAUGCUUCGGAUCCUGUUGGAUGCAUCACAUGUGAUUGGGUGUGGUCCUUUUGCUAGCAUUGGAGUUAAAUUAGCCACAGAACAUUCUGUCCUGCCCACAACAACCUUUUGCUAACGUGAGGCAAUUAUACAACAAAACAGGCUGAAACAGAAACUGUAGCAACAGCUCACAGCUGCUGUCACACAACAUUCUAUCCUGCCCACAACAACCAAAAAAACGCCUAUGAGGACACCAAGACCAGUCCCAGCCGAGGCACGAACUAAAGCAAUGAGGAUGCAGCCAAAACAGGAACAUAUCACAGCUGUUGUACGAGCAGUCAGCCACCAACACCAAACAGAAGGCAAAACAGCCCCAAAAGUGAUGUAUAUAAAUAUAGUUAAUACUAAAGUUGACUCUUAUGAGUAUGCCACAUAUCUUAAGAUCAUCAUUGUAGGCAUGUCUUAAUAUAUACAAUAUAGGUAGGAUAAUUUGGUCAGGCGUUGGUUUAGUUUUCAUCUCAACAAUAUGAUUGAAAAAUGUAGUUUCCCAUCUUGACUAACUCUCAAAAGUUAUACACUCAAA
Molecule: long non-coding RNA, 1905 nt
Filed under: Medicago truncatula (barrel medic)
Lineage: Eukaryota; Viridiplantae; Streptophyta; Magnoliopsida; Fabales; Fabaceae
Description: lncRNA gene29280
Source: RNAcentral